GGUUGAUCCUGGCUCAGGAUGAACGCUAGCGGCAGGCUUAACACAUGCAAGUCGAGGGGUAUAGUUCUUCGGAAUUAGAGACCGGCGCACGGGUGCGUAACGCGUAUGCAAUCUACCUUUUACAGAGGGAUAGCCCAGAGAAAUUUGGAUUGAUACCUCAUAGUAUAAUGACUUGGCAUCAAGACAUUAUUAAAGUCACAACGGUAAAAGAUGAGCAUGCGUCCCAUUAGCUAGUUGGUAAGGUAACGGCUUACCAAGGCUACGAUGGGUAGGGGUCCUGAGAGGGAGAUCCCCCACACUGGUACUGAGACACGGACCAGACUCCUACGGGAGGCAGCAGUGAGGAAUAUUGGACAAUGGGCGCAAGCCUGAUCCAGCCAUGCCGCGUGCAGGAUGACGGUCCUAUGGAUUGUAAACUGCUUUUAUACGAGAAGAAACAC
This 440-nucleotide ribosomal RNA is filed under the name Flavobacterium sp. WB4.4-29. Its description in RNAcentral is "bacterial SSU rRNA". It matches the Rfam family "Bacterial small subunit ribosomal RNA", at positions 11 to 453 of the family's 1533-position model. Lineage: Bacteria; Pseudomonadati; Bacteroidota; Flavobacteriia; Flavobacteriales; Flavobacteriaceae. The record is from RNAcentral.